GGGGGGSSWRCAGUAGGGAAUCUUCCGCAAUGGACGAAAGUCUGACGGAGCAACGCCGCGUGAGUGAUGAAGGUUUUCGGAUCGUAAAGCUCUGUUGUUAGGGAAGAACAAGUGCAAGAGUAACUGCUUGCACCUUGACGGUACCUAACCAGAAAGCCACGGCUAACUACGUGCCAGCAGCCGCGGUAAUACGUAGGUGGCAAGCGUUGUCCGGAAUUAUUGGGCGUAAAGGGCUCGCAGGCGGUUUCUUAAGUCUGAUGUGAAAGCCCCCGGCUCAACCGGGGAGGGUCAUUGGAAACUGGGAAACUUGAGUGCAGAAGAGGAGAGUGGAAUUCCACGUGUAGCGGUGAAAUGCGUAGAGAUGUGGAGGAACACCAGUGGCGAAGGCGACUCUCUGGUCUGUAACUGACGCUGAGGAGCGAAAGCGUGGGGAGCGAACAGGAUUAGUACCCCGCGGGUGAAGYNA
This 466-nucleotide ribosomal RNA is filed under the name Bacillus stratosphericus. RNAcentral's name for it is "bacterial SSU rRNA". Lineage: Bacteria; Bacillati; Bacillota; Bacilli; Caryophanales; Bacillaceae. The record is from RNAcentral.